This 897-nucleotide long non-coding RNA is filed under the name Nicotiana tabacum (common tobacco). RNAcentral's name for it is "long non-coding RNA (NTAB_LNC005270)". The record is from RNAcentral. Lineage: Eukaryota; Viridiplantae; Streptophyta; Magnoliopsida; Solanales; Solanaceae.
AAUUCUGUUAUUGCAAUGAAGAUAUCCUGUAAGAGUAAUGCUUUAUUCAUGUUUAGUAAUGGUUACAGGGACAGAUAACUAAUGAGAUUUUUAAGUUAUUUGGCUGACGUGCACUAAAUUACCGUUUCCCUUUCCAGAUACCUGCAUUCGCAGCGUACAAGCUCUCUGGAUUUAUCAAAGGAUUUUUGCCUCAAGGUUCAGAGGUUCGUGUUAAGAAUAUGGAACCAAAUUGUGAUAGAUUAACAAUUCCUUAACUAAGUGACCUAAGGCCCUAAUGUUUCUCUUGAUUAUUCAGGAUGCUGAAGAGGAUGAAAAGACCAGAAAAAAGAGAGAGAAACUGGAGAAGAAAGCUUCAAGAACCAAAUUUGUUAAAACAAGAGCUCGAUAACUCAGCAAAGCAAUGAAGUAGAAUGGUGUUGCUGAGACUUGUGCAUUGGCUGAUUGACUACACCUGUUCUUCAAAUGUCAGAAAAUUGUGUUCUAGCACAUGAGUUGUCUCGAGACUGGAGAUCGAUGUAGUCUGAUCUUGUUGAAAAUUAUGGUUUCGGAUACUUUGUAGGAUUGCCAUAUACAGAUUCAUUUUAUGUCUGUUUAAUGUAUUUGUGUAUGUCUUGGUCAGCAGACUACAUUUCCAUAUCCACUUUGAAGAAACCUGUACCAUGACAUAAUCAAGGAUUUAGCUACAUUUUGGUGCAAUUUGGAACUUGAUCUCGAAACCCUUUCUCAGGUUUGAGAUAUAAUUAUGUUCUAUGAGUAUAUUCUGAUAGAAGUAUAUUUUCGAAACAUGAAAUUUUUGCAAGAGGAUGGAAUUUUUUAUUAGUCAACUGAGUUGGCCACUCAUCUAACACACUAGUUUAGAGCAUUUUCAGGUUCUAUGAUUUAAACUUUAUUGGUUCG